This 304-nucleotide ribosomal RNA is filed under the name uncultured bacterium. Its description in RNAcentral is "partial 16S ribosomal RNA". It matches the Rfam family "Bacterial small subunit ribosomal RNA", at positions 506 to 808 of the family's 1533-position model. The record is from RNAcentral.
CAGCAGUAGCCGCGGUAAGACAAAGGAUGCAAGCGUUGUCCGGAUUUAUUGGGCGUAAAGCGAGCGCAGGCGGUUAGAUAAGUCUGAAGUUAAAGGCUGUGGCUUAACCAUAGUACGCUUUGGAAACUGUUUAACUUGAGUGCAGAAGGGGAGAGUGGAAUUCCAUGUGCAGCGGUGAAAUGCGUAGAUAUAUGGAGGAACACCGGUGGCGAAAGCGGCUCUCUGGUCUGUAACUGACGCUGAGGCUCGAAAGCGUGGGGAGCGAACAGGAUUAGAUACCCCGGUAGUCCCUGUCUCUUAUACA